Molecule: long non-coding RNA, 207 nt
Filed under: Ananas comosus (pineapple)
Lineage: Eukaryota; Viridiplantae; Streptophyta; Magnoliopsida; Poales; Bromeliaceae
Description: long non-coding RNA (ACOM_LNC040905)
Source: RNAcentral
CAUGCUGGCCUGGCCUAAUUUUAUAUAAAGAAUUUUCUAUCAAAAUUUCACGUGAUUUGGAUAUUUCUACACCGUUAAAUUUGCAAACGGCUCACUACGGCCAUUGAAAUUUGUUGAUUUUGAGCCCCUUCGAUCACUAGGCAAAUGAUAUCGAAAAAUAAUAAAAUUUAUUUUCUAGGUACUCCAAAUACUCUAGAUCAAGUUUAA